Molecule: ribosomal RNA, 432 nt
Filed under: uncultured bacterium
Lineage: Bacteria
Description: partial 16S ribosomal RNA
Rfam family: Bacterial small subunit ribosomal RNA
Source: RNAcentral
AACGAACGCUGGCGGCAUGCCUAACACAUGCAAGUCGAACGAGACCUUCGGGUCUAGUGGCGCACGGGUGCGUAACGCGUGGGAACCUGCCCUUAGGUUCGGAAUAACUCCCCGAAAGGGGUGCUAAUACCGGAUAAUGUCUUCGGACCAAAGAUUUAUCGCCUUUGGAUGGGCCCGCGUUGGAUUAGCUAGUUGGUAGGGUAAAAGCCUACCAAGGCGACGAUCCAUAGCUGGUCUGAGAGGAUGAUCAGCCACACUGGGACUGAGACACGGCCCAGACUCCUACGGAAGGCGCCGGUAAGGAAUAUUGGACAAUGGGCGAAAGCCUGACCCAGCAAGGCCGCGUGAGUGAUGAAGGCCUUAGGGUUUUAAAGCUCUUUUACCCGGGUUGAUAAGGAAAGUACCGGGAGAAUAAGCUCGGGCUAACUCCGG